UGAGGAAUAUUGGUCAAUGGAGGCAACUCUGAACCAGCCACGUCGCGUGAAGGAUGACGGCCCUACGGGUUGUAAACUUCUUUUGUAAGGGAAUAAAGUGAGCCACGUGUGGCUUUUUGCAUGUACCUUACGAAUAAGGAUCGGCUAACUCCGUGCCAGCAGCCGCGGUAAUACGGAGGAUCCGAGCGUUAUCCGGAUUUAUUGGGUUUAAAGGGUGCGCAGGCGGGAGAUUAAGUCGGCGGUGAAAUUUUGCAGCUCAACUGUAAAAGUGCCUUCGAAACUGGUUUCCUUGAGUGUAGAUGAAGUAGGCGGAAUUUGUGGUGUAGCGGUGAAAUGCAUAGAUAUCACGAGGAACUCCGAUUGCGUAGGCAGCUCACUGGGCUACAACUGACGCUGAGGCACGAAGGUGCGGGGAUCAAACAGG
Molecule: ribosomal RNA, 424 nt
Filed under: uncultured prokaryote
Also listed under: 1 other name
Description: bacterial SSU rRNA
Rfam family: Bacterial small subunit ribosomal RNA
Source: RNAcentral